Long non-coding RNA from Acinonyx jubatus (cheetah), 887 nucleotides. RefSeq lists it as uncharacterized. NCBI's taxonomy places the organism in Eukaryota, Metazoa, Chordata, Mammalia, Carnivora, Felidae. The record is from RefSeq and is a predicted model, not a curated record. The transcript is spliced from 3 exons.
CGGAGAAAUAAUCUAAUGACUCUUGGGAGGCAAAAAUCAGAGGAUAAAAGAGCUAACAGCAAAUACCACACGGACAAAGGCAGUUUGCCUGAGGGCCACGUGGUAAUAAUACUCUUCAGAAGUUCUAGAACCCUGAGGAUUUCAAAGGGGGAGAGUCUCAUCUCUGGGUUGGAACUGCGACAGAUUGGAAGUCAUAUCAGAAGAAGCCAGGGUCUUGAUAUGCCUUCUUUUGACAUGGGGACCACUAACCAGGCCUGGGAGAGAAGGAGGAAUUAGCAUCAUCUAAAAGGAAAUCGUAUACUUGGCCAAUUCAAUAGACAUGAAUUGGGACUUCCUGUGUUCCUGUCUCUAUAGCAGGUUUUGUGAGGAGGUUUACAAAUACAUCAGAAAGUUCCUGCCCUCAGAGCUUUCAGGGAAGUGAGGAAGCCCAGAAUUUGACAAGUAUUGGAGAAGCAAUAUAAAAGAGGAGAUACCGAGAAGAAGGAGACUGCACAGAGACACCUUUGUGGAAAAAAUGGUACAAUGGUACUAGGCUGGAGAGUCAGGAGCCCAAGAGAAGAAGCCACAUUUGCUGAACAACUAAAUGAGGACCCUCCUCUUCCAUGUCCUUUUCCCUUCCACCUUCUCUAGAAGACUCUACCUGUUUUAAAUUAUCAGCCAGAAACACAACGUACACACAGCAGAAGCCCAGCUGGGUGACUAUAAGGAAGAAGCUCACGAUAUGCCUGGAAGAGAAAGGAGAGAGAGAAAAUGCGUUAUAAAAGAAGAGUUGAUUUGUCAAUUCGAUGUCUGUCCCUAGGGCUUGGUGUCCCUGUACCAGCACCCUCCAUUCUGCUACCUCAAUCAACAAUGGGGCAGUAAGAAGUGAGGUAACGACAGCUCUUUUU